GCCCCUGUAGCUCAAUGGAUAGAGCAACCGCCUCCUAAGCGGUAGGUUGAAGGUUCGACUCCUUCCUGGGGCA
This 73-nucleotide transfer RNA is filed under the name Chloroflexota bacterium. Its description in RNAcentral is "Chloroflexi bacterium tRNA-Arg". It matches the Rfam family "tRNA". From Rfam's summary of the family: Transfer RNA (tRNA) molecules are approximately 80 nucleotides in length. Lineage: Bacteria; Bacillati; Chloroflexota. The record is from RNAcentral.